UGCGUAAUAGCUCACUGGUCGAGAGGUCCUGCGCCGAAAAUGUCCGGGGCUGAAACACACUGCCGAAGCUCAGGAACUUACGAACGUAGGUUGGUAGAGGAGCAUUCUUAACGGGACGAAGCGGUACCGGAAGGAGCCGUGGACUGUUAAGAAGAGAGAAUGCCGGAAUGAGUAGCGAGAAUUAUGUGGGAAUCAUAAUGGCCGAAAAUCUAAGGUUUCUUGGGGAAGGUUCGUCCGCCCAAGGUAAGCCGGGAGCUAAGGCGAGGCCGAAAGGCGUAGUCGAUGCACAUACGGUAGAAAUUCCGUAACCACCGAACCUUAAGCAUAGGGGACACUUUGGAAUAGCCGAACCCGGGCGUUGGUUGACCC
RNAcentral lists this ribosomal RNA (369 nucleotides) under Cyclophora tenuis. Its description in RNAcentral is "partial Bacterial large subunit ribosomal RNA". It matches the Rfam family "Bacterial large subunit ribosomal RNA", at positions 1131 to 1508 of the family's 2925-position model. The record is from RNAcentral. Lineage: Eukaryota; Bacillariophyta; Fragilariophyceae; Cyclophorales; Cyclophoraceae.